RNAcentral lists this ribosomal RNA (623 nucleotides) under uncultured Verrucomicrobiota bacterium. RNAcentral describes it as "bacterial SSU rRNA". It matches the Rfam family "Bacterial small subunit ribosomal RNA", at positions 74 to 680 of the family's 1533-position model. Lineage: Bacteria; Pseudomonadati; Verrucomicrobiota. The record is from RNAcentral.
UUGUAGCAAUACAGUGGAAGUUCUAGUGGCGAACGGGUGCGUAACACGUGGGCAAUCUGCCUUAAAGUGGGGGAUAGCUCGGCGAAAGCCGGAUUAAUACCGCAUGUGAUCAGGGGAGACAUCUUCCCAAAAUCAAAGUCGGGGCAACCUGACGCUUUUUGAGGAGCCCGCGGCCUAUCAGCUAGUUGGUGAGGUAACGGCUCACCAAGGCGUUGACGGGUAGCUGGUCUGAGAGGACGACCAGUCACACUGGAACUGAGACACGGUCCAGACACCUACGGGUGGCAGCAGUCGAGAAUUUUUCUCAAUGGGGGAAACCCUGAAGGAGCGACGCCGCGUGGAGGAUGAAGGUCUUCGGGUUGUAAACUCCUGUCAUUUGGGAACAAUGCUUACGUAUUAACUGUACGUGAGUUGAUAGUACCAGAAGAGGAAGAGACGGCUAACUCUGUGCCAGCAGCCGCGGUAAUACAGAGGUCUCAAGCGUUGUUCGGAUUCAUUGGGCGUAAAGGGUGUGUAGGUGGCGCGCUAAGUCGGGUGUGAAAUUUCGGAGCUUAACUCCGAAACUGCAUUCGAUACUGGCGUGCUUGAGGACUGGAGAGGAGACUGGAAUUCACGGUGUAGCA